AGAGCGCAGGGUGGAUGCCUUGGCACUAAGAGCCGAAGAAAGACGUGAUAAGCUGCGAAAAGCUGCGGGGAGAUGCAAAUAAUCCUUGAUCCGCAGAUGUCUGAAUGGGGAAACCCGGUACGAAGAACUCGUAUCAUCCAUACGCCAAUCCAUAACGUAUGGAGGGGAACCCGGUGAACUGAAACAUCUAAGUAGCCGGAGGAAGAGAAAGAAACAUCGAUUUUGUUAGUAGCGGCGAGCGAAAGCGAAAGAGGCCAAACCGGAGUGCGUGCACUCCGGGGUUCGGACCGCAUUUAAGAUUCAGUGAUUCUAGCAGAAAGGUUUGGGAAAGCCUGCCGGAGAGGGUGAAAGCCCCGUAAGCGAAAGGAGAGCUGACUGAGCGGAAUCCAGAGUACAUCGAGACACGAGAAACCUUGAUGGAAUGAGCGGGGACCACCCCGUAAGCCUAAAUACUACUUAGUGACCGAUAGCGCAUAGUACUGUGAAGGAAAGGUGAAAAGGACCCCGGGAGGGGAGUGAAAGAGAACCUGAAACCCUGUGUUUACAAGCUGUGGAAGUUCUUUAAAUGAACAACCGCGUACUUUUUGUAGAACGGUCCGGCGAGUUGCGGAUACUGGCAAGGUUAAGCACUUAAGGUGCGGAGCCGAAGGGAUACCAAGUCUUAACAGGGCGUUAAGUCAGUAUACGCAGACCCGAAACCGGGUGAUCUAUCCAUGUCCAGGUUGAAGUUGUCGUAAAAGACAAUGGAGGACCGAAGCCACAUCCGUUGAAAAGGGUGGGCAUGAGGUGUGGAUAGGGGAGAAAUUCCAAUCGAACCCGGAGAUAGCUGGUUCUCCUCGAAAUAGCUUUAGGGCUAGCCUCGAUUUAGUCUUAUGGAGGUAGAGCACUGAAUUUCCGCGGGGGCGUCAAAGCUUACCAAAGAAUAUCAAACUCCGAAUGCCAUGUAGAUGAUGAUCGGGAGUCAGACUGCACGAGAUAAGUUGGGCAGUCAAAAGGGAAAGAGCCCAGACCACCGGCUAAGGUCCCAAAGUGCGUGUUAAGUGGAAAAGGAUGUGGGAAUUCGAAGACAACUAGGAUGUUGGCUCAGAAGCAGCCAUACAUUCAAAGAGUGCGUAACAGCUCACUAGUCGAGAGUUCCUGCGCCGAAAAUGUCCGGGGCUGAAACACGACACCGAAGCCGUGGACUCGCAAUGCGAGUGGUAGAGGAGCAUUCUUAAAACCGACGAAGCUGUACCGGAAGGAGCAGUGGAGGGAUAAGAAGAGAGAAUGCCGGAAUGAGUAGCGAGAGAAAGGUGGGAAUCCUUUCGGCCGAAUAUCUAAGGUUUCCAGAGUAAAGCUGAUCUGCUCUGGGUAAGUCGGGGCCUAAGCACAGGUCGCAAGACGUAAGCGAUGGAUAACAGGUUUAGAUUCCUGUACCACGCAUUAUCAGAACUGUAGGGACGCAUGUGGAAAGCACGGGCCGGGAAUGGAAAGACCGGUACAAGCGAGGUAGGUGUACAACAGGCAAAUCCGUUGUAUAAUCCGAAGACGUGAUGUGGAGCGAAAUAAAGUAGUGAAGCGUGUGAGCCAUGUGCCGAGAAAAGCUGCUAUUGUGUAAUGCGUGCCCGUACCGUAAACCGACACAGGUGGAUGAGGAGAGAAUCCUAAGGCCGGCGGAAGAAGCAUUGUCAAGGAACUCGGCAAAAUGGCCCCGUAACUUAGGGAUAAGGGGUGCCUGGGAAACCAGGCCGCAGAGAAUAGGCUCAAGCAACUGUUUAGCAAAAACACAGGUCUAUGCGAAACCGAAAGGUGAGGUAUAUGGGCUGACGCCUGCCCGGUGCUGGAAGGUUAAGAGGAGAGGUUAGCGGUAACGCGAAGCUUUGAAUUUAAGCCCCAGUAAACGGCGGCCGUAACUAUAACGGUCCUAAGGUAGCGAAAUUCCUUGUCGGGUAAGUUCCGACCCGCACGAAAGGCGUAAUGAUUUGAGCACUGUCUCGACAAUGCAUCCGGUGAAAUUGAAGUACCAGUGAAGAUGCUGGUUACCCGCGCCAGGACGGAAAGACCCCAUGGAGCUUUACUCCAGUUUGAUACUGGGAUUCGGUACUGCAUGUACAGGAUAGGUGGGAGACGAAGAAGGAUGGACGCCAGUCUGUCCGGAGUCGCUGUUGGGAUACCACCCCUGUAGUACUGGGUUUCUAACCAGUUGCCAUGAACUGGCAAUGGGACAAUGUCAGGCGGGGAGUUUGACUGGGGCGGUCGCCUCCGAAAGGGUAUCGGAGGCGCUCAAAGGU
This 2270-nucleotide ribosomal RNA is filed under the name human gut metagenome. RNAcentral's name for it is "bacterial LSU rRNA". It matches the Rfam family "Bacterial large subunit ribosomal RNA", at positions 14 to 2317 of the family's 2925-position model. The record is from RNAcentral.